UUGCGUAGGUGGUUUGUUAAGUGAAUAGUGAAAGCUGGAGGCUCAACCUUACAGACUAUUAUUCAAACUGGCAAACUCGAGAGUAGUAGAGGUAACUGGAAUUUCUUGUGUAGGAGUGAAAUCCGUAGAUAUAAGAAGGAACACCAAUGGCGUAGGCAGGUUACUGGGCUAUCUCUGACACUGAGGCACGAAAGCGUGGGGAGCGAACC
RNAcentral lists this ribosomal RNA (209 nucleotides) under uncultured bacterium. RNAcentral describes it as "partial 16S ribosomal RNA". It matches the Rfam family "Bacterial small subunit ribosomal RNA", at positions 567 to 774 of the family's 1533-position model. The record is from RNAcentral.